This 1180-nucleotide long non-coding RNA is filed under the name Bos mutus (wild yak). RNAcentral describes it as "lncRNA (ENSBMUG00000022037.1)". Lineage: Eukaryota; Metazoa; Chordata; Mammalia; Artiodactyla; Bovidae. The record is from RNAcentral.
AUUUCACUCUUUGUUUGUAACCUCCAAAGAUAAUGUGUGUGUUUGUGUGUUUCUGAUUUGGAGUGCAAAUAGCUGCACUCAUAAAACUCCUGAAAUUGUGUUUCUAGGAAAAUUUAACAUGGCCGAGGAAAAUGGAUGCUUUUCUGGAAAUAUAUAAAAGUUUUUCAAAUUACCUGACACAAAGCAGAUACCCUUAAAAUACUGAUAAUCAAGAAGCAAAGUUAUUAAAAAAUUACUUCUGCAGAAGUUUCCACAGACUCAUACAUUCUGCCAGAUUUCAAGGAAUAGGUAAUUCCUGUUAUUUAAAUUGUUUCAGAAUAUAGGACACAAAAAGGAGGCAAAACAGACAUUCUGAUUCAUUGUUCAAAAUUUUUACAUCCUGGGACUUCCCUGCUGGUCCAGUGGCUAAGACCAUGAGCUCCCAAUGCAAGGGACCUGGGUUUGAUCCCUGGUCAGGGAACUAGAUCCCACAUGCUGCAACUAAGACCCUGUACAGCCAAAUAAAUAAAUAUUAUUAAAAAAAAAAAAAUUUUUACGUCCUUGCUGCCCAAACCUGGAGAGGGGCCAUUCUCUGGCCUGAGACAAAGCAAAAGCAAACCACCCAAGGCCAUUCUCACAAAGUUACAAAAUCCGUUCCAAAACAGUAAAUUAAGUCCAGCAUUAUAUUGAAAGAGUAAUGCAUUCUUGUAUGUGCAUGGAUCUUUUAUUGGUGGAAAGAAAAACGCAUACCUUGAAGAUACAUUUGAUACAAUUCAAAAUGUUUUAAAUGUAGGUAAUAUAGAGAAGGAAACUGCUAACUUGCUAUAAGGUACUUAGAGAACUAUCAAAAUCAGUGUUAAUGAUGAAACAUUGGAGCACAGUGACAUCCUCCCAUAAUGCUGGGUGGGGUAAGGUUGGUUCCAUUUGGGUAAAAUGUGGGGUGAGCUUGACCAAAUAACGGGCAAAUUCAGAGGGUUGGGAAGUCAUCAAUUGCAUUGUACUGGAAUUCAUAUUAUUGUUUGAUUUUUUUUCUAUAUUCUCAGAGUCUGGAACAAGUCAAAAAUAUCAGCUGCCACUUCAGUUCUUCAGUAUUGUUCUCUGGGGCUUAGCAAAUGAGAUAGAAAUAUUGAGAAUGGAAGCAACAGAAUGUUACUUACAAGUUGAGUUCCAUGUAUGGAUGUGAGAGUUGGACUGUGAAGAA